CACGUAGGGUGCAAGCGUUGUCCGGAAUUAUUGGGCGUAAAGAGCUCGUAGGCGGUCUGUCACGUCGGCUGUGAAAUCCCGAGGCUCAACCUCGGGUCUGCAGUCGAUACGGGCAAACUAGAGUAUUGCAGGGGAGACUGGAAUUCCUGGUGUAGCGGUGAAAUGCGCAGAUAUCAGGAGGAACACCGAUGGCGAAGGCAGGUCUCUGGGCCGAUACUGACGCUGAGGAGCGAAAGCGUGGGGAGCGAACAGG
RNAcentral lists this ribosomal RNA (253 nucleotides) under uncultured bacterium. Its description in RNAcentral is "partial 16S ribosomal RNA". It matches the Rfam family "Bacterial small subunit ribosomal RNA", at positions 524 to 776 of the family's 1533-position model. The record is from RNAcentral.